GAUGAACGCUGGCGGCGUGCCUAAUACAUGCAAGUCGAGCGAACGGACGAGAAGCUUGCUUCUCUGAUGUUAGCGGCGGACGGGUGAGUAACACGUGGAUAACCUACCUAUAAGACUGGGAUAACUUCGGGAAACCGGCGCUAAUACCGGAUAAUAUUUUGAACCGCAUGGUUCAAAAGUGAAAGACGGUCUUGCUGUCACUUAUAGCUGGAUCCGCGCUGCAUUAGCUAGUUGGUAAGGUAACGGCUUACCAAGGCAACGAUGCAUAGCCGACCUGAGAGGGUGGUCGGCCACACUGGAACUGAGCCACGGUCCAGACUCCUACGGGAGGCAGCAGUAGGGAAUCUUCCGCAAUGGGCGAAAGCCUGACGGAGCAACGCCGCGUGAGUGAUGAAGGUCUUCGGAUCGUAAAGCUCUGUUAUUAGGGAAGAACAUAUGUGUAAGUAACUGUGCACAUCUUGACGGUACCUAAUCAGAAAGCCACGGCUAACUACGUG
RNAcentral lists this ribosomal RNA (497 nucleotides) under uncultured bacterium. RNAcentral's name for it is "partial 16S ribosomal RNA". It matches the Rfam family "Bacterial small subunit ribosomal RNA", at positions 28 to 507 of the family's 1533-position model. The record is from RNAcentral.